Molecule: long non-coding RNA, 235 nt
Filed under: Phoenix dactylifera (date palm)
Lineage: Eukaryota; Viridiplantae; Streptophyta; Magnoliopsida; Arecales; Arecaceae
Description: long non-coding RNA (PDAC_LNC010675)
Source: RNAcentral
AAAUUCCGUGCCCUACAAACACUGUUUAUCUCCUCUCUACACACUUUGCCCCCUCCCUGACUUGAGCGUCGGAGGGCCGGCGCCGGAAAACCCGGCCACCGGCUUGCCUGCAGGCACCCCAGACGGUGGACGCCGCCCGCUGACGGAUCGCCGCCCCGCCGUGAGGACCCCCUGCUCCCUCUCUCCGGCCACCCCAAACGGAGGACGCCGCCCGCCGACUGGUCGCCGCCCCGCC